RNAcentral lists this ribosomal RNA (613 nucleotides) under Rhodococcus sp. (in: high G+C Gram-positive bacteria). Its description in RNAcentral is "bacterial SSU rRNA". It matches the Rfam family "Bacterial small subunit ribosomal RNA", at positions 261 to 886 of the family's 1533-position model. Lineage: Bacteria; Bacillati; Actinomycetota; Actinomycetes; Mycobacteriales; Nocardiaceae. The record is from RNAcentral.
UAGGGUCUCAGCGACGACGGGUAGCCGACCUGAGAGGGUGACCGGCCACACUGGGACUGAGACACGGCCCAGACUCCUACGGGAGGCAGCAGUGGGGAAUAUUGCACAAUGGGCGAAAGCCUGAUGCAGCGACGCCGCGUGAGGGAUGACGGCCUUCGGGUUGUAAACCUCUUUCAGCAGGGACGAAGCGCAAGUGACGGUACCUGCAGAAGAAGCACCGGCUAACUACGUGCCAGCAGCCGCGGUAAUACGUAGGGUGCAAGCGUUGUCCGGAAUUACUGGGCGUAAAGAGUUCGUAGGCGGUUUGUCGCGUCGUUUGUGAAAACCAGCAGCUCAACUGCUGGCUUGCAGGCGAUACGGGCAGACUUGAGUACUGCAGGGGAGACUGGAAUUCCUGGUGUAGCGGUGAAAUGCGCAGAUAUCAGGAGGAACACCGGUGGCGAAGGCGGGUCUCUGGGCAGUAACUGACGCUGAGGAACGAAAGCGUGGGUAGCGAACAGGAUUAGAUACCCUGGUAGUCCACGCCGUAAACGGUGGGCGCUAGGUGUGGGUUCCUUCCACGGAAUCCGUGCCGUAGCUAACGCAUUAAGCGCCCCGCCUGGGGAAGUACGGG